RNAcentral lists this unclassified non-coding RNA (255 nucleotides) under fungal sp. RNAcentral describes it as "partial internal transcribed spacer region". The stretch from base 1 to 46 matches the Rfam family "Eukaryotic small subunit ribosomal RNA", at positions 1786 to 1831 of the family's 1831-position model. Lineage: Eukaryota; Fungi. The record is from RNAcentral.
AAGUCGUAACAAGGUUUCCGUAGGUGAACCUGCGGAAGGAUCAUUAAAAAAUCAUUUGAGCCGCAAGGCUCUAUUAUCUUGUGAAAUGUACAUGGGAGAAUUCUGCACAGGGAGGGGAGGAUAUGUCACCAUAUCAUCCAUUCCUCUAUGUGCAAGCUUUUCCCAGUUAUUAUUAAACAUAUGUUUAUUGAUGUUGAGGAAAUGUAUAUUUAAAUAAUACUUAUACAACUUUCAACAGUGGAUCUCUCGGCUCUU